Molecule: signal recognition particle RNA, 77 nt
Filed under: Thermohalobaculum sp.
Lineage: Bacteria; Pseudomonadati; Pseudomonadota; Alphaproteobacteria; Rhodobacterales; Paracoccaceae
Description: partial signal recognition particle sRNA small type
Rfam family: Bacterial small signal recognition particle RNA
About the family: The signal recognition particle (SRP) is a universally conserved ribonucleoprotein involved in the co-translational targeting of proteins to membranes.
Source: RNAcentral
GAGAGGUUGGCGCGGGCGAGCGCCUCGCCAACCCGGUCAGGUCCGGAAGGAAGCAGCCGUAACGAGCCCCGCUUGGG